GUUGCUUUUUCCUCUCCCUCAAAGGCUUCCAACAUGAUGUGCGUAAGCCACAACGUUAGAAGCCUUUGUGGGAGAGGAAGAAACA
This 85-nucleotide microRNA precursor is filed under the name Physcomitrium patens. RNAcentral's name for it is "Physcomitrella patens miR477a stem-loop (ppt-MIR477a)". Its record names the gene ppt-MIR477a. It matches the Rfam family "MIR473 microRNA precursor family". Lineage: Eukaryota; Viridiplantae; Streptophyta; Bryopsida; Funariales; Funariaceae. The record is from miRBase by way of RNAcentral.